UACGUAGGGUGCGAGCGUUAAUCGGAAUUACUGGGCGUAAAGCGUGCGCAGGCGGCUUUGCAAGACAGAUGUGAAAUCCCCGGGCUCAACCUGGGAACUGCAUUUGUGACUGCAAGGCUAGAGUACGGCAGAGGGGGAUGGAAUUCCGCGUGUGGCAGUGAAAUGCGUAGAUAUGCGGAGGAACACCAAUGGCGAAGGCAAUCCCCUGGGCCUGUACUGACGCUCAUGCACGAAAGCGUGGGGAGCAAACAGG
Molecule: ribosomal RNA, 253 nt
Filed under: uncultured bacterium
Lineage: Bacteria
Description: partial 16S ribosomal RNA
Rfam family: Bacterial small subunit ribosomal RNA
Source: RNAcentral